GCUUGUCUCAAAGAUUAAGCCAUGCAUGUCUAAGUAUAAGCACUUGUACUGUGAAACUGCGAAUGGCUCAUUAUAUCAGUUAUAAUUUAUUUGAUAGUACCUUACUACUUGGAUAACCGUGGUAAUUCUAGAGCUAAUACAUGCAGCAAAACCCGACUUUUUGGAGGGUUGUAUUUAUUAGAUAAAAAACCAAUGCCAUCCGGCUUCUGGUGAUUCAUAAUAACUUCUCGGAUCGUAUGACCUUGUGUCGACGACGUGUCAUUCAAAUUUCUGCCCUAUCAACUUUCGAUGUUUGGGUAGUGGCCAAACAUGGUUUUUACGGGUAACGGAGAAUUAGGGUUCGAUUCCGGAGAGCGAGCCUGAGAAACGGCUAGCACAUCCAAGGAAGGCAGCAGG
RNAcentral lists this ribosomal RNA (396 nucleotides) under uncultured fungus. RNAcentral's name for it is "partial small subunit ribosomal RNA". It matches the Rfam family "Eukaryotic small subunit ribosomal RNA", at positions 30 to 432 of the family's 1831-position model. Lineage: Eukaryota; Fungi. The record is from RNAcentral.